RNAcentral lists this ribosomal RNA (223 nucleotides) under uncultured bacterium. RNAcentral describes it as "partial 16S ribosomal RNA". It matches the Rfam family "Bacterial small subunit ribosomal RNA", at positions 118 to 340 of the family's 1533-position model. The record is from RNAcentral.
UGGGCAACCUGCCCCUAGCUCUGGGAUAACUGCGGGAAACUGUAGCUAAUACCGGACGUGACACGAGACUGCAUGGGUCUUCGUGUGGAAAGAUUUAUCGGCUAGGGAUGGGCCCGCGGUCUAUCAGCUUGUUGGUGGGGCAAUGGCUCACCAAGGCGACGAUCCUUAGCUGGUCUGAGAGGAUGAUCAGCCACACUGGGACUGAGACACGGCCCAGACUCCG